CACUUAUGGUGAUCUGGCUGCCAUGAGAUUGCCAGAAGAUGUGGAAGGACUUGGUUGCUGUGAGGUGAGUGUUACAAACUCUAGCAGUAUCUGUCUCAUCUCCUUUGUUUUCUGUCAUCUGUUCACAAAAUAGUCUGACACAGAUGCAUAUAUUAUGCAUGCAGUACACAAUGGAUAGGGGAGUGGUUCAUGCCUGUCAUGCGGGGGGAGUGGUACACAGCCUUGAAGGUUGGUCUCAUCACGAAGUUGGGGCCAUAGAUGUUAACAGAAUUGAUCUUGUGUGGGAAGCAGCACUCAAACAUGGCUUAAGACCAGUGUCACACAGUAAAACAAAUUAAAACUCUUCAGUCAAAAACUGUUUUUCUUAAGUUGUUUUCUUCUUGUUUUGUUG
RNAcentral lists this long non-coding RNA (391 nucleotides) under Vigna radiata. Its description in RNAcentral is "long non-coding RNA (VRAD_LNC007472)". Lineage: Eukaryota; Viridiplantae; Streptophyta; Magnoliopsida; Fabales; Fabaceae. The record is from RNAcentral.